Gallus gallus (chicken) is the source of this 1237-nucleotide long non-coding RNA. NCBI's taxonomy places the organism in Eukaryota, Metazoa, Chordata, Aves, Galliformes, Phasianidae. The record is from Ensembl.
AAACUAACUGCUGCUUGGGGUUUGACUUGUUAUUGGUUAGCUGGUGGUGAGAGGUUGUGUUGUGAGGGAGGGUGUUUGUGUGCAAGCAGUUGUAUUGUUAGCUGGACAUUGGUUGCUAGUUGAGUAGUAGUUGCAUUGCAAACAUAUGUAUAUAUAUAGAGAGAGAGAGAGAGAGAUCACUUUCUUUUUCUUUUCUUUUCUUUUUUUUUUUGUUUGUUUUCCAUCAUUUCUGUCCUAGUAAAUAAUUUUAUAUCACUCCAUGAGUGUUUUGUUUCUAAUUCUCUUCCCCCAUCUCACUUGGAGGGGAGUGAGUAGAGGUCUGUAUGGUAUCUAGCUGCCUGCCAAGUUGAACCACACAUUUUCAGCCCCAAACUAUGCCUGACUUUUUUCUGGGAACAGGCUAUCCUCUCUGGGACAAAGCAUGCUUUAAGGCAUCUAGCCCAAGGAAAUUUAUGUCAGCAUUCAAGCUCAUGGCUUUUUUAAUUUUCUGGGUCUGAAGUCUAAGAGGUGCCAUUUUGUGAAACUCCUCUUCUUAAAGAAUAUUAUACAUAGCAGCUUGGAUCUAUAGAGGAAAGUGGUCUACUUCAAGAGAAAGUAUCUUCCUUUCAAGAUGUGAUCUUGGAACUGGAAGAAGUGCUGUGCCUUUCUAAUCGUUAUCCAGUAUCUUGGAAAUGUCUGCUGAUUAGUUCACCUCAUACGUCCUCCAUUUUAGGAGAGGCUAACUGUGGCUUAAAGGAAAGAAAAAAAUGCAUAUAACUGCAACACAAAACAUCAUCAAGCCAGCAGAAAAGAUCUCUUCUGAAAAUCUUACUGCUUCUCUGACAACCACCACUACAGAAAUGUUUCAUGCCUUUCAAACAACAUCUGAGGGUGUUACAUUUCCCGUGUUCUCUGUCUGCGUUCCAAACUCUGUCAAGGAUAAAUCUAGUACAUAAAGGGAGGAAAAAAAGAAAAAGAAAGAAUCUCUGUUCUACUUUUGCCUUAGACCUAAGGAGCAAUUGCCCUAUUCUGUUUGAAGCAUAUUUAUGAAUCUGUUGUAAACAGGUUUACAUUAAAUAGGGAAAUGUAUUUAAUACAAUAAGAAUGGCUAAUAUUGGAGAAGGCAAAUAUGACUAUUAAUGCCAUGAUCUUUUAAAAUUAUUUCCUGUUUGUAUUUAAUUCUGAAUGAAAGUAUUAUCAUAGGUUUAAAGCUAUGUUAAUUUAUUUUAAUGUUGUGUGUAUUAAUAAAAUCACAAAA